RNAcentral lists this long non-coding RNA (289 nucleotides) under Hordeum vulgare. RNAcentral describes it as "long non-coding RNA (HVUL_LNC016051)". Lineage: Eukaryota; Viridiplantae; Streptophyta; Magnoliopsida; Poales; Poaceae. The record is from RNAcentral.
UGGAAGGAGGAAUCGCUAAAGUAGAAUCGGAGAGUGGCGACGAAGAAGUCACCGGAGAUGAAGGUGUAGAAUCCGGUGACAUGCUAGACGAGGAGAUCGUGGAAGAUGGUGGCGACAAAUCGACUGGAGGUGGAGAAGCAGAGGGAGCGGAAUGAGUAGGCAAAGGCUCGACGAGUGUGAUAGGCGUGUCAGGAAAAGUGAGAAAAGAGAUAUCCUCCACUGAAAAAGUCGAGGAAGAUGGGCGUGGGUAGAAGGGACGAGACUCAUCAAAAGUCACAUCCCGAGAGAU